UCUUCUUAGUAAAAAGAUAUUUAUUUAAGAAAUGCGGUAAUGGAACAAAAUUUAAAUCGACCUUUAUUUAAUGAAAACUUCGGUACAUUUAUGUAGUUAUCAAUGGCAAUAAGAGCAGAAAUAAUUAUUUACAAAAUAAAUAUUAUUAAUCGUUAUCAAAAUAACUACACAGUUUAUUUAUAACUAAACAAUCUAUUGGAAAAAUAGAAAGUAACAUGGUAGCUUCAGAUUUUAUUGUUUUUGACUUCGUCAAUCCAACAGCGAUAGCAGAACAGCGUUUUUGUCUGGAGAGAUUAUCUAUCUGUAAAGAUACCAUUAAGGAAAUAGUAUUAAGACAAAUUAUUAUACUCAAUGAAAAAAAAUCCAGCUUGUUCUGUUUGGAUUUGGAUUGGUGGCGUAUACUCUGUCAUAAUUUUCAAGGCUCGUUUUUUACUACUUCAAAACUUUCAAACUUUUUAAAAUUGCAGUUGUGAUUUCGAAAAAUGUUUCCAUUUUUGCUGUCUCAUAGUGUUUUUAGCUUUCAAUUUGUAUUUUUUUGAUGUUUUUUAUUUUGUUACGGAAACUUGUUACAUUUAUGAAAUGUUACAGGCUAAUUUAUGCAAUGUUUAAGUUACAGGCUAAUUUAUGCAAUGUUUAAGUUACAGGCUAAUUUAUGCAAUGUUUAAGUUGGAAUUUUUA
Molecule: long non-coding RNA, 678 nt
Organism: Hydra vulgaris (swiftwater hydra)
Lineage: Eukaryota; Metazoa; Cnidaria; Hydrozoa; Anthoathecata; Hydridae
Source: RefSeq, a predicted model, not a curated record